This 506-nucleotide ribosomal RNA is filed under the name uncultured bacterium. Its description in RNAcentral is "bacterial SSU rRNA". It matches the Rfam family "Bacterial small subunit ribosomal RNA", at positions 355 to 879 of the family's 1533-position model. The record is from RNAcentral.
UGGGGAAUAUUGGACAAUGGGCGCAAGCCUGAUCCAGCCAUGCCGCGUGAGUGAUGAAGGCCCUAGGGUUGUAAAGCUCUUUCGCACGCGACGAUAAUGACGGUAGCGUGAGAAGAAGCCCCGGCUAACUUCGUGCCAGCAGCCGCGGUAAUACGAAGGGGGCUAGCGUUGCUCGGAAUCACUGGGCGUAAAGGGCGCGUAGGCGGAUCUUUAAGUCAGGGGUGAAAGCCCAAGGCUCAACCUUGGAAUUGCCUUUGAUACUGGGGAUCUUGAGACCGGAAGAGGUUGGUGGAACUGCGAGUGUAGAGGUGAAAUUCGUAGAUAUUCGCAAGAACACCAGUGGCGAAGGCGGCCAACUGGUCCGGUUCUGACGCUGAGGCGCGAAAGCGUGGGGAGCAAACAGGAUUAGAUACCCUGGUAGUCCACGCCGUAAACGAUGGAUGCUAGCUGUUGGCCGGCUUGCCGGUCAGUAGCGCCGCUAACGCAUUAAGCAUCCCGCCUGGGGA